GAGCCCCUGGCUCAAUUGUUAGAGCAUUAGACUUCCGAUCAACAGGUCUGGGUUCUAGUCUCGGGUGGUGCA
Molecule: transfer RNA, 72 nt
Filed under: Schistocephalus solidus
Lineage: Eukaryota; Metazoa; Platyhelminthes; Cestoda; Diphyllobothriidea; Diphyllobothriidae
Rfam family: tRNA
About the family: Transfer RNA (tRNA) molecules are approximately 80 nucleotides in length. Their secondary structure includes four short double-helical elements and three loops (D, anti-codon, and T loops).
Source: Rfam by way of RNAcentral